Agrilus planipennis (emerald ash borer) is the source of this 1124-nucleotide long non-coding RNA. RefSeq lists it as uncharacterized. The transcript has 3 exons. NCBI's taxonomy places the organism in Eukaryota, Metazoa, Arthropoda, Insecta, Coleoptera, Buprestidae. The record is from RefSeq and is a predicted model, not a curated record.
CAAAACUUCUGUUAAUUAAGGCCACUAAUUACGGCGCGUGAGAACAAAUGUUUUGAUGCUAAUGAUCUAUGAUUAAAGCAUUGUUUUUGGUAAUACCAGCGGGAAAAGCAAAUCCGGGAAUCAAAUACAUUGAUGCAAAAUCACCAUGUUCACAAUGCAUAUAUGUACUUUGUAUUGUACAAUAUAAAACACUAAAGCGGUAUCAAGUGUGGUAAUUAAAGCAUUAUUUAUAUACCUAACUUCUCAUUACGCGGUUUUCUUUUUUAAAUAAUUCGCCGAUUAUGUCUACAGUUUCUACAUGCGGUAGAAUUAACAGCAUUGGAAACUCCACCGUGUUUUUAAUAAUGCUGAAAUGUUUUGUUACUACUUGUUCAUGCUGUUUUUUUUUUAACUGAAUCCCAUUACAGGUAUACCAAUAUUUUACGCACAAAUUAAAAUGUGGCCUAAUUAUGUUUUAUUUUAAUACAGAAUUAUUCAAUAGUCGUGACAUGUCUGUUGUAAAUUAUAGAGUGAUAAUAAUGCAUUUCUGCAUUUACUGUGUCAGCUCGCUGUCAACCAUAAAAUCUUAUUAGUUAUUAACGUAUUGUAUAAAAGUUACACCGUCAUAAAGCCCAUUAUCUGUAUUCUAUAAUUCGAUUUGAGUUUCUUUAACAGAUAAAGGCAUAAUUGGAAUAAUGGGCAUAGGAAGCAUGGCAUAAAAAGUACAAGUCACAUACGUAUUAUCAUAUUAAGUAUAAGCUAUUUUACACUAAUGUAAGCCAUAGGUAUACGUUUGCAAAGUUAUUUCAGUUUUCCUUUUUUAAUAGAUAAUUAUACAAAUUACCUUCCGCUGCUUUCCUUAAAAUUAGCUAAAAAGAUGUACAUACAUACGAGCAUGGAAAUUAAAGAUAAGAUUGGCUUUUUUAACGUGCAGUUUUUACUUCAUUUCAAGUCAGUCAAUGGAUAAUUACCCGUAAAUUCAAAACUGGUUACAUAUUAGAUAAUAAAAGAAAAACAGGCAGAUUUGACAGCGGCUAGUUAAAAAUUCAGCCUAAUUAUUAUGACUUGAAAUGAUGAUGUAAUUAGAAGAACUUCGCCAGCGGGCCACAGUGGGUGGGGGGCCAAGAUGAUAAAUAAAAGAUGUA